AAAACAGGGGUAAUGCCGGAUGCUCCAUCACACCGCAUGGUGUGUUGGGAAAGCCUUUGCGGCAUGGGAUGGGGUCGCGUCCUAUCAGCUUGACGGCGGGGUAACGGCCCACCAUGGCUUGGACGGGUAGCCGGCCUGAGAGGGCGACCGGCCACAUUGGGUUUGAGAUACGGCCCAGACUCCUACGGGAGGCAGCAGUGGGGAAUAUUGUACAAUGGGCGCAAGCCUGAUGCAGCGACGCCGCGUGAGGGAUGGAGGCCUUCGGGUUGUAAACCUCUUUUGUUAGGGAGCAAGGCAUUUUGUGGUGAGUGUACCUUUUGAAUAAGCACCGGCUAACUACGUGCCAGCAGCCGCGGUAAUACGUAGGGUGCAAGCGUUAUCCGGAAUUAUUGGGCGUAAAGGGCUCGUAGGCGGUUCGUCGCGUCCGGUGUGAAAGUCCAUCGCUUAACGGUGGAUCCGCGCCGGGUACGGGCGGGCUUGAGUGCGGUAGGGGAGACUGGAAUGCCCGGUAGCGAAG
This 517-nucleotide ribosomal RNA is filed under the name Bifidobacterium breve. Its description in RNAcentral is "bacterial SSU rRNA". It matches the Rfam family "Bacterial small subunit ribosomal RNA", at positions 154 to 681 of the family's 1533-position model. Lineage: Bacteria; Bacillati; Actinomycetota; Actinomycetes; Bifidobacteriales; Bifidobacteriaceae. The record is from RNAcentral.